CCUACGGGUGACUGCAGUCGAGAAUCAUUCACAAUGGGGGAAACCCUGAUGGUGCGACGCCGCGUGGGGGAAUGAAGGUCUUCGGAUUGUAAACCCCUGUCAUGUGGGAGCAAAUUAAAAAGAUAGUACCACAAGAGGAAGAGCCGGCUAACUCUGUGCCAGCAGCCGCGGUCAUACAGAGGUCUCAAGCGUUGUUCGGAAUCACUGGGCGUAAAGGGUGCGGAGGCUGUUUCGUAAGUCGUGUGUGAAAAGCGAGGGCUCAACCCGCGGACAGCAGAUGAUACUGCGUGACUAGAGUAAGGGAGAGGGAAGCGGAAUGCGUGGUGUAGCAGUGAAAUGCGUAGAUAUCGCGAGGAACACUCGUGGCGAAGGCGGGUUCCUGGACAUCAACUGACGCUGAGGCACGAAGGCCAGGGGAGCGAAAGGGAUUAGAUACCCCAGUAGUC
RNAcentral lists this ribosomal RNA (446 nucleotides) under uncultured bacterium. Its description in RNAcentral is "partial 16S ribosomal RNA". It matches the Rfam family "Bacterial small subunit ribosomal RNA", at positions 338 to 795 of the family's 1533-position model. The record is from RNAcentral.